GAAAUAUAAUUAAUGAAGUGUCACAGUUCAGAUGGUAGUUUAACCAUCUGAACUGUGAUACUUCAUUGAUUGAUUAUAAUUCAUCAUUAAGCAGAAAUUAUUGUCUGGUCACAUCUGUCACUGUCUGGACUUAGUUUUCCAAUGAUGUAGGCCUUGAAUGAAAUCCUCCAGAUAUCUUUAUAAUAUAGUUGUGACUUCGCUCGGGUAUACCUCCGAGCGUUCACCUCUGAUUCGACCCCGCGGUUUGCUUCUGGUUGUUUUUCUAUUAACAUUAACUUCAACUGGUAUGCUCACUUCAUUAUUAUCCAGACAGCGAAAUAACAACUCGAACGUAUUCCACAAAAUGACUCAUUUUUAUUAACAAAACAAUGUAAACUAAAUAAAACUUACUAUGAAGAACAAUUCUUGCCUGUACAAAAUUAUUUAGUGACUUUCUGGAACUAUAAAACAACAAUAUAAUUGACGGAUAACAAUAAGAUACAACUUGCACUAUUGACAAUGAAUUAGCAACAAUC
This 515-nucleotide long non-coding RNA is filed under the name Androctonus crassicauda. Lineage: Eukaryota; Metazoa; Arthropoda; Arachnida; Scorpiones; Buthidae. The record is from RNAcentral.